GACGAACGCUGGCGGCGUGCUUAACACAUGCAAGUCGAACGGAAAGGCCCUGCUUUUGUGGGGUGCUCGAGUGGCGAACGGGUGAGUAACAGGUGAGUAACCUGCCCUUGACUUUGGGAUAACUUCAGGAAACUGGGGCUAAUACCGGAUAGGAGCUCCUGCAGCAUGGUGGGGGUGGGAAAGUUUCUGCGGUUGGGGAUGGACUCGCGGCUUAUCAGCUUGUUGGUGGGGUAGUGGCUUACCAAGGCUUUGACGGGUAGCCGGCCUGAGAGGGUGACCGGCCACCUUGGGCCUGCGAUACGGCCCAGACUCCUACGGGAGGCAACGGUGGGGAAUAUUGCACAAUGGGCGGAAGCCUGUUGCGGCGACGCCGCGUGCGGGAUGACGGCCUUCUGGUUGUAAACCGCUUUCGCCUGUGACGAAGCGGGAGUGACGGUAAUGGGUAAAGAAGCACCGGCUAACUACGUG
RNAcentral lists this ribosomal RNA (468 nucleotides) under uncultured bacterium. Its description in RNAcentral is "partial 16S ribosomal RNA". It matches the Rfam family "Bacterial small subunit ribosomal RNA", at positions 28 to 507 of the family's 1533-position model. The record is from RNAcentral.